Molecule: ribosomal RNA, 254 nt
Filed under: uncultured bacterium
Lineage: Bacteria
Description: partial 16S ribosomal RNA
Rfam family: Bacterial small subunit ribosomal RNA
Source: RNAcentral
UACGAAGGGGACUAGCGUUGUUCGGAAUCACUGGGCGUAAAGCGCACGUAGGCGGAUAUGUCAGUCAGGGGUGAAAUCCCGGGGCUCAACCUCGGAACUGCCCUUGAUACAGCAUAUCUUGAGUCCGAUAGAGGUGGGUGGAAUUCCUAGUGUAGAGGUGAAAUUCGUAGAUAUUAGGAAGAACACCGGUGGCGAAGGCGGAUCUCUGGGCCUUGCCUGACGCUGAGGCGCGAAAGCUAGGGGAGCGAAACAGG